RNAcentral lists this long non-coding RNA (1006 nucleotides) under Homo sapiens (human). RNAcentral's name for it is "long intergenic non-protein coding RNA 882". Lineage: Eukaryota; Metazoa; Chordata; Mammalia; Primates; Hominidae. The record is from RNAcentral.
GCCUCCCGCCGCGCAGGCUCGGCGUUGGCCUCCGCGGCCCGUGCGAGUGCGCCCUUCUCGGGUCCCCUAGGUCGCGGGGCAGCCGGGGCGGAAGGGGCUUGUUCAUUAUUUUGAGAGUUUGUUGUGAACGUCAUAACCUUUCGUCCUUAAAUAUUGCCGAUACUUGACCUACGCAAGAGACAAUGUCAUGUGAUUCAGCCUAAUAUCUCAGAGGAUGCAGCAUUCAAGGUUCUAUCUUGGAAGCAGAGACUGUGCCCUCACCAGAUGCUGAACCUGCUGAGCACCCUGAUCUUCCACUUCACCUUCAUCAGAACUGUCUUUGAGGAAUUGUCACACUGUCUUCUGCAAUGGAUGAACUAAUUUACACUCUCAACAACAGUGUAUAAGCAUUCCUUUUGCUCUGCAACCUCACCAGACAUCUGUUUUCGUAUCAGGAUGAUGCUGGCCUCAUACAAUGAGUUAGGGACGCGCAUGAAAUUUGGUGCCGUGACUCGGAUCGGCGGACCUCCCUUAGGAGAUCAAUCCCCUGUCCUCCUGCUCUUUGCUCCAUGAGAAAGAUCCACCUACGACCUAAGGUCCUCAGACCAACCAGCCCAAGAAACAUCUCACCAAUUUCAAAUCCGAAAUCCUUCAUCUAAUCUGGCAAACACAUGUGGCAGGUUUUUCUCACCGCAUAAAAUAUGUUAUAGAGUAGUCCAUCUAUUUCUCUUCCAUGGAAGAGUUCAUCUGGUAGAUUGGACUACCACUUUUCCUUGAUGAGAGACGUUGAGCUCCAAACUCAGACUAAGAAACUAUAAGAAAUAUGCUUCAAUGAAGAAGCUGUUCAAAAAUGAGUAAGAUUGUUUCCUUGAGGCAAGAAAGAAAUGCAGAAGUCUUGACAAACAAAAGAAGAGAUUGCCUUAGGGAAGGGGACUACAGUGAACACUGAGAACUUCUUCCCACGCUAAGACAAUCUUUACAGAGCAAGACUCCGUCUCAAAAAAAAAAAAAAAAGUAAGCAUAAGAA